AUGGAUGUUGGAUCUUAUGAUGUAGCACCCGGUGGAUAUUUAGCUAGCAUGUAUCAUCUUACGAGAAUGCAAUAUGGUAUAGAUAAUCCAGAAGAAGUAUGCAUAAAAGUCCUUGCCCAAAAGGAUAAUCCUAGAAUUCCAUCUAUCUUCUGGAUUUGGAGAAGUGCCGAUUUUCAAGAACACGAAUCUUAUGAUAUGGUGGGAAUUUCUUAUGAUAAUUAUCCACGCCUUAAACAUAUCAUAAUGCCUGAAAGUUGGAUAGGCUUGCCCUUACGUAAGGAUUAUAUAACCCCCAAUUUUUAUAAAAUACAAGAUGCUCAUUGA
RNAcentral lists this ribosomal RNA (324 nucleotides) under Triticum aestivum (bread wheat). Its description in RNAcentral is "partial small subunit ribosomal RNA". The record is from RNAcentral. Lineage: Eukaryota; Viridiplantae; Streptophyta; Magnoliopsida; Poales; Poaceae.